Molecule: non-coding RNA, 73 nt
Organism: Pangasius djambal
Lineage: Eukaryota; Metazoa; Chordata; Actinopteri; Siluriformes; Pangasiidae
Source: the annotation of a GenBank genome assembly
ACCCUGGAGGUCUAAUGGCUAAGGAUCCAGUGCUCUCACCACUAUGGCCUGGGUUUGAUUCCCGGGCAAGGAA